UCGAAACACCGAUGAUGAUGACGGGAUCCCAAUAUCUCGGAGAAAAUAAAGACAAUGAAAAGAUUUCGUAUAGAUUUGGAGGACA
Molecule: small nucleolar RNA, 85 nt
Organism: Caenorhabditis elegans
Lineage: Eukaryota; Metazoa; Nematoda; Chromadorea; Rhabditida; Rhabditidae
Source: Ensembl